Molecule: ribosomal RNA, 1005 nt
Filed under: Enterobacter cloacae subsp. dissolvens
Lineage: Bacteria; Pseudomonadati; Pseudomonadota; Gammaproteobacteria; Enterobacterales; Enterobacteriaceae
Description: bacterial SSU rRNA
Rfam family: Bacterial small subunit ribosomal RNA
Source: RNAcentral
GGGUCGCGGCUACCAUGCAAGUCGAACGGUAGCACAGAGAGCUUGCUCUCGGGUGACGAGUGGCGGACGGGUGAGUAAUGUCUGGGAAACUGCCUGAUGGAGGGGGAUAACUACUGGAAACGGUAGCUAAUACCGCAUAACGUCGCAAGACCAAAGAGGGGGACCUUCGGGCCUCUUGCCAUCAGAUGUGCCCAGAUGGGAUUAGCUAGUAGGUGGGGUAACGGCUCACCUAGGCGACGAUCCCUAGCUGGUCUGAGAGGAUGACCAGCCACACUGGAACUGAGACACGGUCCAGACUCCUACGGGAGGCAGCAGUGGGGAAUAUUGCACAAUGGGCGCAAGCCUGAUGCAGCCAUGCCGCGUGUAUGAAGAAGGCCUUCGGGUUGUAAAGUACUUUCAGCGGGGAGGAAGGUGUUGUGGUUAAUAACCACAGCAAUUGACGUUACCCGCAGAAGAAGCACCGGCUAACUCCGUGCCAGCAGCCGCGGUAAUACGGAGGGUGCAAGCGUUAAUCGGAAUUACUGGGCGUAAAGCGCACGCAGGCGGUCUGUCAAGUCGGAUGUGAAAUCCCCGGGCUCAACCUGGGAACUGCAUUCGAAACUGGCAGGCUGGAGUCUUGUAGAGGGGGGUAGAAUUCCAGGUGUAGCGGUGAAAUGCGUAGAGAUCUGGAGGAAUACCGGUGGCGAAGGCGGCCCCCUGGACAAAGACUGACGCUCAGGUGCGAAAGCGUGGGGAGCAAACAGGAUUAGAUACCCUGGUAGUCCACGCCGUAAACGAUGUCGAUUUGGAGGUUGUGCCCUUGAGGCGUGGCUUCCGGAGCUAACGCGUUAAAUCGACCGCCUGGGGAGUACGGCCGCAAGGUUAAAACUCAAAUGAAUUGACGGGGGCCCGCACAAGCGGUGGAGCAUGUGGUUUAAUUCGAUGCAACGCGAAGAACCUUACCUGGUCUUGACAUCCCAGAACUUUCCAGAGAUGGAUUGGUGCCUUCGGAACUGUGAGACAGUG